UGGCAGCUGGCGGCGGCCACGCUCGUCGGGAUGCAGAGCAUGCCCGGGCUGGUGGUGCUCUACGGGAGCAUCGUCAAGAAGAAGUGGGCCGUCAACUCGGCCUUCAUGGCUCUCUACGCUUUCGCCGCCGCCCUCAUCGUGUGGGUCCUCGUCGGCUUCCGCAUGGCCUUCGGCGAGCGCCUCCUUCCCUUCUGGGGCAAGGCCGGCCCGGCCCUCAGCCAGGGCUACCUCGUCGGCCGCGCCCGGAUGCUGGCCACCCCCCACCACUUCCGCAACGGUACGCUGGAGAAAGGGAUGGAAGAGCCCUUCUACCCCCAGGCCUCCCUCGUCUACUUCGAGUUCACGUUCGCGGCCAUCACGCUCAUCCUGCUCGCCGG
RNAcentral lists this long non-coding RNA (377 nucleotides) under Musa acuminata (dwarf banana). RNAcentral's name for it is "long non-coding RNA (MACU_LNC002059)". The record is from RNAcentral. Lineage: Eukaryota; Viridiplantae; Streptophyta; Magnoliopsida; Zingiberales; Musaceae.